GUUUCUUUUUAUUGAAAAUGACUUGGGUUGAGCUGUGACCUUGGGUUGAACAAUAUGGAAUAUGACUAAUUUCGAACAACUGAGUACUCUAGGUGGUUACCCGGGCUGGGAGAGGUGUUCCAAGAUAAAAAGAAAGCCUUCUUUCAAUUUUAAUCCAAAUUUUUCACUGCAUUCUUUAAUAAAUUGGUCUGCGGCUUCAGUGUUGUUUUUAAUAUUACUGUCAAAUUCAAAGGAUGUAUUUUCUGAGCCAAAAAAAAUAAAAAACUCCUCUGAGAGAGGGGUCAUGCCAAAAUUUUAUUCAUUACUCCUACUAUUAAACUACUACUACUAUUAAAUCUACUAUUAAAACAACCACUUUUACUAUUUCCUCGACCACUUUUUGUUUUAUUUCUGACUUAAUUCUCUUUCCAUUUAUUUUUCUCAUGAUGGCGCAUAGCUAGGGGUUGCAUUUGGUCCAUUUCUCUUUUCGCCUCGACUCAUAUUGUAUUAGAAAAGUGGUUGUCUGUUGAGUAAAAUUGAAAAAGUGGCUGUGUGCUUGUGAAUUGUAAAAUAAAGUGGUUGUUGCUGAGGAAAUGGAAAAGAAGAAUGUAUAGGAAAAUAAAUAAUUCUCGACGUAGCAGAUCUCAAGUCCUUCCGGGCUCCUUGAUGCCCUUUUAUGUAAAUUCUUAUCAUCCAAUCAACAUGCUUAUGGUACAAUCUGAAGACUCAAAUGUUCUACUUUGAUUUUUAACCGUUUUAAAACGAUUUGUCAUCAUUCUGAAGGGCGUUACGGAUGUUUAAUGGAUAAGCGAGGACAAUGACUGGCCAGCAGAUUCAAAGCUCGCGGAUAUGGGAUUAAACUGGUGACAGCUAGGCACUAAUAUUUUAGCAUGAUGGGGAUUGACAAAAUUCCCGGCUGAAAAUUGCUUAGCGGUUGAAUCUCGAUGAAAGAGAAAAAAAUUUCAUACUAAAUGUAGCCUCUGGGCUGAAUUGGUGAAGUGAAAAGUUGAUAUUUUGUGUUAAGACGAAGCGUCCUCGACGAAGGAUAUAAAAAUUACACAAUUCCAUUGCGGAAUUGGCAAGAUGAGCAAUCGGUCGGUUUGAUGCAUACUUUUGAGUGUCUCGUAAAGCCAGCAAGUGACCCGAGAUUGGUUGUGAGACCAAAUCUGUCUCGCCUCGUGUGUCGUUCUGGCGCCGACGGUGCGAGUGAUGAAGCUUUACGCUUUUCUGGGUAAGAUUUGCUGCCUUCAAGGUUCGAGUGAAUCUUUCCUGAUUGCGAGAUAUCUGGUUGAUCCUGCCUGAACUGAUGUGUUCAUUUCAAAGAUUAAGCCAUGCAUGUAUAAGUUUAAUCGUUUUAACGAGAAACCGCGAACGGCUCAUUACAAUGGCCAUGAUUUACUUGAUCUUGAUUAUCUAAAUGGAUAACUGUGGAAAAGCUAGAGCUAAUACAUGCACCAAAGCUUUGUCCUCUCGGAAAAGCGCAUUUAUUAGAACAAAACCACGCGGCUUCGGCUGCUUCUUGUUGACUCAGAAUAACUAAGCUGACCGCAUGGCCUUGUGCCGGCGGCGUGUCUUUCAAGCGUCCACUUUAUCAACUUGACGGGAGCAUAAUCGACUCCCGUGGUGGUGACGGAUAACGGAGGAUCAGGGUUCGACUCCGGAGAAGGGGCCUGAGAAAUGGCCACUACGUCUAAGGAUGGCAGCAGGCGCGCAAAUUACCCACUCUCGGCUCGAGGAGGUAGUGACGAGAAAUAACGAGAUCGUUCUCUUUGAGGCCGGUCAUCGGAAUGGGUACAAUUUAAACCCUUUAACGAGUAUCAAGCAGAGGGCAAGUCUGGUGCCAGCAGCCGCGGUAAUUCCAGCUCUGCUAAUACAUAGAAUUAUUGCUGCGGUUAAAAAGCUCGUAGUUGGAUUCGUAUCGGUACCCUGGAACCCUCCGGGUGUUUCUGGGUGUUAUCGAUUUAUCGUAAUGUUCGGUUUUGAGUCCUUAACAGGAUUCUUAACAGGCAUUGCAAGUUUACUUUGAACAAAUCAGAGUGCUUCAAACAGGCGUUUUCGCUUGAACUUCGAUUGGCGCUGAACAACCAGUUUAGAACUGGCACGAACUCCGGGAAUCCGACUGUCUAAUUAAAACAGAGGAGACGGAUGGUCCUUGCAGGACGUUGACCGUGUCUGAUUUCUGCCCAGUGCUCUGAAUGUUAAGCCAAGGAAACUUGAUUAAGCGCGGGUAAACGGCGGGAGUAACUAUGACUCUCUUAAGGUAGCCAAAUGCCUCGUCGGCUAACUACCGACGCGCACGAAUGGAUCAACGAGAUUCCCACUGUCCCUAUCUACUAUCUAGCGAAACCACAGCCAAGGGAACGGGCUUGGCAAAUUUAGCGGGGAAAGAAGACCCUGUUGAGCUUGACUCUAGUCUGACUUUGUGAAGAAUCAUGAGAGGUGUAGCAUAAGUGGGAGUCGCAAGACAACAGUGAAAUACCACUACUUUCAUCGAUUCCUUACUUAAUCGGUAAAACGGGAGUUGUGUCUACGGACCUUCAUUUUUGUUUUAAGACUAGCCACUCGGUGGUUGGUUGACUCGCGCCGAUGACAUUGUCAGGCGGGGAGUUUGACUGGGGCGGUACAUCUGUCAAAUUGUAACGCAGGUGUCCUAAGGCGAGCUCAGAGAGGACGGAAACCUCUCGUAGAGCAAAAAGGCAAAUGCUUACUUGAUCUUGAUUUUCAGUACGAAUACAGACCGCGAAAGCGUGGCUUAUCGAUCCUUUUGAGUUUGUAAAGUUUACAGCAAGAGGUGUCAGAAAAGUUACCACAGGGAUAACUGGCUUGUGGCGGCCAAGCGUCCAUAGCGACGUCGCUUUUUGAUCCUUCGAUGUCGGCUCUUCCUAUCAUUGCGAAGCAGAAUUCGCCAAGUGUUGGAUUGUUCACCCACCAAUAGGGAACGUGAGCUGGGUUUAGACCGUCGUGAGACAGGUUAGUUUUACCCUACUAAAUACUUGUUGCUAUGAUGGUCAUCCUGCUUAGUACGAGAGGAACCGCAGGUUCAGACAUUUGGUUCAUGUGCCUGGUCGAUAGGCCAAUGGCGCGAAGCUACCAUCUGAGGGAUUAUGACUGAACGCCUCUAAGUCAGAAUCCCGCCCAGUCAUGAUAGCAAUAUAUAUCGCUCUCCGGUGUCGGAAGGCAAAAUGUAUGCCACUUUUUUUAGUGGUAGUACAAGCCCCAGUAUCUGGCAUUUUCCUUCUACUAUAAUUGGUAGUUGGUUGCUAAAAGCUUAGCACUCCUCGUGCAUGUGUAACGUCGGGGCGCAAAAUCACUUGUAUACGACUUGAAUACUGGUCAGGGGUUGUAUCCAGUAGAGCAGCUCUUCGCUGCGAUCUGUUGAGACUUAGCCCUUGAUCGGAUGAUUUGUCUUUUUU
Molecule: ribosomal RNA, 3392 nt
Filed under: Meloidogyne arenaria
Lineage: Eukaryota; Metazoa; Nematoda; Chromadorea; Rhabditida; Meloidogynidae
Description: eukaryotic LSU rRNA
Rfam family: Eukaryotic large subunit ribosomal RNA (bases 1854-3383)
Source: RNAcentral